RNAcentral lists this ribosomal RNA (305 nucleotides) under uncultured bacterium. RNAcentral describes it as "bacterial SSU rRNA". It matches the Rfam family "Bacterial small subunit ribosomal RNA", at positions 337 to 640 of the family's 1533-position model. The record is from RNAcentral.
GCCUACGGGAGGCAGCAGUGAGGAAUAUUGGUCAAUGGCCGGAAGGCUGAACCAGCCAAGCCGCGUGAAGGACGAAGGUGCCAAGCAUUGUAAACUUCUUUUGUCAAGGGACAAAAUCAGGCUCGAGAGCCUGACCGAGGGUACUUGAAGAAAAAGCAUCGGCUAACUCCGUGCCAGCAGCCGCGGUAAUACGGAGGAUGCGAGCGUUAUCCGGAUUUAUUGGGUUUAAAGGGUGCGUAGGCGGACUGUUAAGUCAGCGGUAAAAGCCCGGGGCUCAACCCCGGCGAUGCGUUGACACUGGCUGU